This is a non-coding RNA of Anas platyrhynchos (mallard), 1121 nucleotides long. NCBI's taxonomy places the organism in Eukaryota, Metazoa, Chordata, Aves, Anseriformes, Anatidae. The record is from RefSeq and is a predicted model, not a curated record.
UCUGUCAGAAACUUCGGUGCGUGUCUGCGUGGGUUUGCUUGGUGAGGCUGCGGCAGCGUCCAUGCUCCGAGUCCCCAGGGCUCCGAAGAUGAUUAAUGAUAACAAAGCUUUCCCUAUUGUGUUAGCGGGUAGGAAGGAAGGAAGAGUACUCUAAAAAGAGAGUGCAUAGAAUUGCAGAGUAUUGAAGUUCAGAGGUAGAGCUUAACCCUUUAGACCGGCUGCAGAAUUUCUUCCAGUUGUGCGAGGAAGGUGUCGGCUGCUUCGUCGUCACCGCGAAGUCUGCCCAGUGGCUGCGUGAGCCCGUCCCUGCCCCAAGAGCAGGAGCACGCGGGGGAAACCAUCACACUGCGAUGUAGCAACGCUUCUGGAUGAGGUGGACUGCUCGCAGUUUAACAAAUGGAAUGAAAAAGAAAAUUGAAUACUUCAUGACAAGAGAGGGAUUAUGGUAACGCUGCUCUGUACGGGAAGCCUAUCAUGUCCAGGGCCAGAUCAUGCUUCUGAGAUCUGGGCAUCAACUACAAGAUCUCAACGCCUGCCUUCAGGACCACAGCUGGAGUUCUUCAGCUGCGAUUCCACCAGAUUACUGGCUGCAGGAGCCUCUAAUGUAUUUGGACCUUAUAUCUCAGUGAGUGAAGGCAGCGACGAUCAUGGCAAGGAUAACUGGCUGGUGGUGGCAAUCGGGCCUCUGCAUGGAGAGCUUUGGCCUCCUGCAGCCUGAAAGUUUCCCUGGGUUUACGAGCAGCUUCUGAACAGAGGUGGAGAGCAAACCUUUGCCUUUGACACAUUGCAAGAGAAUCUCUGUGAAGAAAUCUUGGUGGAGGUUGCAUCAUAAAAAGCCCACUCCUAAAGCUAAGUUGGAGGAUGUGGCAAUAUAGCCCCAGCAAUUUAAUUGCUAUGUUCCUUUAAUAGCAAUUGUUCUUUCCAUUAAGGGCCACCACAUGCAACCUGAUUAUUAGUUGGCUGGAAAACAGAAACGCUUUGUUUCAGUGAGGCACGUUACCUGAUACACCUAACAUGGGAUUCCAUUAAAAAAUGUACUGGGAAUUUUUAAAACUGGUUUUACAGCAGAUACAUUUUAUCAAAAGAUUCGCUUUUUUAAAAGAAAUUCAAAUGCUGUAGUA